UACGGAGGGUGCAAGCGUUAUCCGGAUUCACUGGGUUUAAAGGGUGUGUAGGCGGAUAUUUAAGUCAGUGGUGAAAUCUCAAGGCUCAACCUUGAAACUGCCAUUGAUACUAUUUAUCUUGAAUAUCGUUGAGGUAGGCGGAAUAUAUCAUGUAGCGGUGAAAUGCUUAGAUAUGAUAUAGAACACCGAUUGCGAAGGCAGCUUGCUAAACGAUUAUUGACGCUGAGGCACGAAAGCGUGGGGAGCAAACAGG
This 253-nucleotide ribosomal RNA is filed under the name uncultured bacterium. RNAcentral describes it as "partial 16S ribosomal RNA". It matches the Rfam family "Bacterial small subunit ribosomal RNA", at positions 524 to 776 of the family's 1533-position model. The record is from RNAcentral.